AACGGCCGCAGUACUUUGACUGUGCUAAGGUAGCAAAAUAAAUAGGCUUAUAAUUGAGGUCGAGUAUGAAUGGCACCAUGGGUGAUAACUGUCUCGUAAUAUAUAAAUUAAUUUAAUUAGUAGGUGAAAAUACCUACCAAAAAAAAUUAGACGAGAAGACCCUUAGAGUUUUUAAUAUACUUAUAUUUUAAGAUCUUUUUUGUUGGGGCGACACAGUAUCAUAAAACAUACUUAUUAUUUUUUACUAAUCUAAUUAUAUAGGUGUAUAUAACUACCUAAGGGAUAACAGCAUAAUUUAUUACUAAGAUUGUGACCUCGAUGUUGGACUAGGGACUAAGGAUAUUAGUCAUAUA
This 353-nucleotide ribosomal RNA is filed under the name Arion urbiae. Its description in RNAcentral is "partial 16S ribosomal RNA". The record is from RNAcentral. Lineage: Eukaryota; Metazoa; Mollusca; Gastropoda; Stylommatophora; Arionidae.